Molecule: long non-coding RNA, 2798 nt
Organism: Cavia porcellus (domestic guinea pig)
Lineage: Eukaryota; Metazoa; Chordata; Mammalia; Rodentia; Caviidae
Exons: 6
Source: RefSeq, a predicted model, not a curated record
UUAAUACCAGGGCCUUGCAAGUGCUAUUUUAGACUCUUGUUCAUCUUUUAUUUUUGAAUAUCGUCAGCUUCCCAAUUUAGAAGCAAUGUUUCCCUCUAUUUUUACAGCGUUUAAAAAUGUUAUUGUGUCUCCAGCUCUGAAGAUGCCAGCCUGAGUUACAUCAGGCUCUCACCGACGCAAUACCACUAGCAACCAUUUAAACCCAACUUCUCUCAAAUUUUUGUGUAGCUGAAUAACUUUACAGGUAACAAACCAACAACAGACUUUAUCUUCUACUGGAAAGUAAAGUUCUUUCCUUCCUAGGAAAGCCAGAGGUUACAUUUCGGAGCUUACCAUUACGUUUACAGAGCCUAGCAAGGUCAGGUGCUCAGAUCUGGCUAAUGAUAACAUCAACAUUUCCAAAGAAUAUUUUCAUUUCCCAAAAAAGAAAACAGAUGUUUCUUGAGAUGAUCUGAGAAGCAGGCAAUGGAACUUCUGUUACAACACUGAUGCUGAACGUCUCUGAGCAAGCUAUGUAGCCCAGGCUGGCCCUGAACUCAUGGCAAUCCUCAUGCUCCAGCCUCCUAAGUGCUGGGAUUACAGGCAUGCACCACCACACCUGGCUGCAGCAUUUGUCUUAAUAAGAUGUGGAAGUCACAAAAGUGAAAAUUGGUAGGUAGUGACCAGCUUUCCUGAGCCACAAGUUUUGCCAAGCAGCUUCUGCCUUGGAGCCAAGUGACCACAAACUGAACUCAUCGAAACCCUGAAUCAAAGGAAAUCUCUCUUCCUGUAAAUUGUGGGUGUCAGGAAUCUGGCAACUGAAUUACAUGCACGUUUCCCGAGUCACCAUGCUAUGGCCAUACCACCCUGCACACGUCCGAUCUCAUCUGAGUUACCAUGCUAAGUGAAGAACAGUAUCUUUGAUGAAACGGAAUAACUGAUUUCUCUAACCACAACCAAACACGUUUGCCCAUUUCCAUCUGGCACAAAUAAAUGCUUGAGGAGAAACACCCGAGCUACAGAGGCUGAAGAGUAAUGAGACCCUGCUGUUACUCGAGGCUGUAGGCAGCUGCGAUGGACGAUGAAGGACACGGAGGCAGCCAGCUUACCGAUUGCUACGUCUGUUGUUGAAAAGACAGUUAGACUGCAGCUGUUCAUACAGCAUUUUGAUUUCUGCUAGUCCUGGUAAAAAUACAAGUACAGCACCUGGUUAUAUAAAAAGAAUAAGAUCAAUGAUAAAGGAAAAGUUAAUAUGGAUUUUAAAGCUACUUUAAACUAACAAACCUUACAAACAGAUUUUUAUUAGUCAACUCAAUUAGCCGCUUACUAUCAGUUUUCUUUGUAAAGUCCCAAAUGAUUUAAAUGAAUAAUACUUUGUUUGCCACACAUUUUGACUUAAUAAGGAGAAAAUAGAGAUUACUACCCUUCUGAAACACGAAGAUCUGAGGUAUGAAAAAGCACAAUGCUGGAGUCAAACAAAACUCAUUAGCUGAGCUCUUAAACAUUUCUUCAGUGCACUGGCCACUGACACUUUGUUUCUACAGAACACUAUCCUUCAAAACUUACCAAGUUAGAAGGUUCUUCUCUUAAUAAUUAAAUCCAUAAAGAUUUUAUUGAAAAUGAGAGAAAGAAACUGGCUGGUCAAUUGGGUAAUAUAAAUUCAGAUAUAUUUUAAAGAGGUGAUAUAUUAACUAACUACAUCAUAUUAGUAGUCUAUGGGCUUCACAAUUCUACAUUAAAGGAAAUUAGAAAUUCUAAUGGAUACUAGUGUAUUUGUGUGCCAAGAUCAGUCACUCAGCAAUAGUUACCUACUUUUGUGCUUUAUGCACAAAGAAAUUGAUAGCCUUUCUUCACUAGUUCCUUUCUAGCUCCACAAACACUUACUGGCUGCCUACAUCAGCUCUGUCCUAGUACAACAGGAUAUAAAACAAGGACCUACCCAUAAAGAGCACAUGGGCUAUUAUUUAAUCAGUUACUUUCUCCACUAAAUAAAUAAUGACUAUAACUUACUACAGAAUGGAACUCUACAGUAAAAGGGCUGACAGGAUCCUGAAGGAUUGUUAAUACUUCAUUCUAGACAACGUUCACACACUUUAUUCCAUUUGAUCCUCACGGUCAGUAAGAAGGGGAUCAGUUCCCUGACAAGUGACUCAGGAGCUUGGCCAGGUCACAGACUCAAACCUAGGAAAUUUUCCAGACUCCAAAGCCUCGGUUCUUAAUCCACUCCCUGCAGGCUCUGUAUACAGAGUCUACAUGUGAUUAAAUGCUCAGGUUAGCCAGGGAUCAUUCAGGCCUGAACAAAAAGCAGUUACCUGGAGGAUAGGAGUGCUUGCCAUCCACAAUCCACUCCAAUAAGGCUUCUAUUAAUUCAAGAUUGACCUUUUCAAAAUCCAUCAUGGACAUUGUUUUGAUGACUGAUUUGCUAAUUCCUGAAAGAAAGAUAAAAAUCAGAAGGAUAAUUCUAUCUAUUGAAGACAAUAGGCCUGUGAACUAGCCUUCAGUGGUUUCCCCAUGAAGUCCCUGAUGACGAAGCCUUCCUGACGGGCUCUGCACUGGGCUGCUCACAGGCUCCUGCUUGCCCUCACUUGGCGGGCUCCUCUCCACCGCUCAGCCUCCCAGCCUGCCUGGAAUCUCCUGACUUGGUUUCUCCUCCACCCUCACUUCCUUCAAGUCCACUGUAAAGGUUACUGUUGCAGGCUCUCGGAUGCUGAGCUGGAAGAGAACAGCACUCUCUCAGCCCCAUCUUCGCUUCGGGUGUUUGAGUGUUCACCGGGAAAAGCGCUACCCUACCUUUCUUCUGUUCUCUCAUGAACUUCAUC